CACGAGCCUCGAUGAACAGUAGGUUACCUCUGCUCUAAAAGGAAAUGGUGAACGAAAGAAUGUGGACGCUGGUAGAAUUCUUCACAGGAGAAGAAAAUUGGUCUUCUUGCAUCAGUGGCUAAUUUGACCAAUCAGAAACAAGGUUUCUUAAGGUCCUGACAGAGCCCCUUGGUGUGUGUGCUGAGACGGUGCCAGCCACAGCAGACCCUCAACCCUACACCUUGCUCUCCUCGCCGGCUUUUCUGGGCUACAGGCAAGCGAUGAAACUGAAAGCCAGCACACAAUGCUACAGUGAUCUCAAACAGCUUAAAUAGAAGGCCCUGGAAAAAUGAAUCACACAAAUUGCUUCCUUCACAGAAGCCAAAUUAGACAUCACUGGUGUUCUGCAACAAGAGGCAUUUUCUUAUAAAGGUGCUUUGGCACCUUUAUUUCCCGUGUAACGAUUUUGUUUAUUCAUCUGUGUUUUAUUUUUGCCAUUUGUUAAAAAG
Molecule: long non-coding RNA, 488 nt
Organism: Ailuropoda melanoleuca (giant panda)
Lineage: Eukaryota; Metazoa; Chordata; Mammalia; Carnivora; Ursidae
Exons: 3
Source: RefSeq, a predicted model, not a curated record